GGGACUGCGGUGCCCUGCUCGGUGGCAUUCCGUCGCCGGUUGCUCUAUGCCCUGGCCUCGUGUUUACAAAUAAGGGAAACUGGAGCCCCAGAGGUGUCAGUAUCCUCCAGGCAAACAGCCUUGCCCCACAGGGCAGAGAAAGAGAGUUACCUCUGUGACUCCUGGAAUGACCAGACCAAAAUCCUGCUUUGGGAUCUCAGAUCGUCAAAAGAGAGCUUCGAAAUCCCAAAACGGAGCAACGGCCAAGACCUUUGCCAACAGGAAUGUUGCUAAUUAGAUUUUCCUAAGGCACCUGAAGUGCACAGCCACAGCUCCCACCUCCAUCAUCUAUCAAAUCAGCUAAGAUUGGUUUCCUGGUCAGUGAAAGACAGCUCCUCUGGGCCUUAGCACAAGCUCUUUCCUCUCUCAGGAAUGUCUUCUCCCAGGUGCCCACAUGGACAGCUCAUGAAGGAGGCAUCACGUGUUUGUGCUAAUGCCACCCCAGAAAGAAAUCGAAAAUGAAGUUCAGGAAGACUAAAGAAUUUUAUUCAACGUCUCAAGUUUACGUUUCUAAUUCCAAGUCCACCAGCGCUCUGCCAAGAGCUUCACAGCAGCAUCGUUCAAUCAGUCAACUUGUGAGACAGUCACUUGGGUGAAUGAAGAUGAUUUAUCCCUCCUCCUGAAGAGUCUUAGAAUUCCAACUAACCACACAAGCUCUCUUUGAUAGUUGGAGCAUUCUCCUGGGGCACAGAUCAAUCAGUUUAACCCCAGGUAGCCAAAGAUAGCAGGUCAGAGAGCAAGAGUUCCUAGAGCUAUCCUAAGUUCUGGGGUUACCCUAGAAUUUUACCAUCUGCCUCUCUAAUCCUGAGGCUCUGGGGUGCCCUUUGUGUACCACACACUUUCUGAGAUUCCUUUUCACCCAAUCCUGACUCUGCCCAUGAUUGUUCACUUGAACUCCUAUCAUCCUUUUAGACUUAGCCCAGUUAUCCUUGGUCCUUCCCCAUCUGGUAGCACUGUCCCCACAGCAUAGUACCCUGCAUGUGGUUAUCACAUUGCUUGGUGGCCAUCUGCCUGUCUUAUCAACUUGGUUGUAAACUCCUGAGAGCAGAGAGUGUGUCUUGCUCAUCCCAGUGUCUCCAGUGAUGAGCACAGUCCUUUGAAAGUAGUUGCUCAGUAUCUGUUUGUUGAAUUAGUGAGGAAAUAAAGGCCAGUUUACUGUACUACCUGGAACUUUAGGUUCCAUGUACAAUACAAAGCAUCCAUCGCCAGUGCCAAAGGCAGAGAAAUCUUUUCUACCUGUGGCCAGUGCUAUAAAAUCCAUGAGCACUUCUGAAAACUGAAAGAGGCCUGCCAUGACCCAUGUAGUGAUUCACACGUUCCCUACUGAUGCCCCUCAACCUUGCCUUAGAAGGAAGCCUAUUUACCUGUUAGUGUUUAACUCCUAGAAAAUUAAUGACAUACACAUUAAAAUAAAUGCCCUUUCCACCUAUCAAAAUUGCAUUUUUAAAAAUUUUUUUAAAGAUUUUAUUUGUUUAUUCACA
This is a long non-coding RNA of Canis lupus familiaris (dog), 1520 nucleotides long. RefSeq lists it as uncharacterized. The record is from RefSeq and is a predicted model, not a curated record. The transcript is spliced from 3 exons. NCBI's taxonomy places the organism in Eukaryota, Metazoa, Chordata, Mammalia, Carnivora, Canidae.